This 73-nucleotide transfer RNA is filed under the name Cordylochernes scorpioides. RNAcentral describes it as "tRNA-Thr". The record is from RNAcentral. Lineage: Eukaryota; Metazoa; Arthropoda; Arachnida; Pseudoscorpiones; Chernetidae.
UUUCAGGGAUGGGAAUCGAACACACAGUGUUCCGCUUACCGGGCAGAUGCCAUGUCCACUAGUUUAUCCUGGA